RNAcentral lists this ribosomal RNA (301 nucleotides) under uncultured bacterium. Its description in RNAcentral is "partial 16S ribosomal RNA". It matches the Rfam family "Bacterial small subunit ribosomal RNA", at positions 509 to 809 of the family's 1533-position model. The record is from RNAcentral.
CAGUCGCCACGGUAAAACGGAGGGUGCAAGCGUUAUCCGGAUUUAUUGGGUUUAAAGGGUCCGUAGGCGGACUUAUAAGUCAGUGGUGAAAGCCUGUCGCUUAACGAUAGAACUGCCAUUGAUACUGUAAGUCUUGAGUAUAUUUGAGGUAGCUGGAAUAAGUAGUGUAGCGGUGAAAUGCAUAGAUAUUACUUAGAACACCAAUUGCGAAGGCAGGUUACCAAGAUAUAACUGACGCUGAGGGACGAAAGCGUGGGUAGCGAACAGGAUUAGAUACCCGGGUAGUCCCUGUCUCUCAUAC